Molecule: non-coding RNA, 99 nt
Organism: Acanthosepion pharaonis
Lineage: Eukaryota; Metazoa; Mollusca; Cephalopoda; Sepiida; Sepiidae
Source: the annotation of a GenBank genome assembly
GUUGAAACACCUGUUCCAGUACGAUCAGUGAAGUUAAGCAAUGUCGAGCCUGGUUAGUACCUAGAUGAGUGAUAGGUUGAGAAUACCAGCUGCUGUAAG